Mycena rebaudengoi is the source of this 97-nucleotide non-coding RNA. NCBI's taxonomy places the organism in Eukaryota, Fungi, Basidiomycota, Agaricomycetes, Agaricales, Mycenaceae. The record is from the annotation of a GenBank genome assembly.
GCCUUCGUAGCGCACGGUGCGCACCUCACAUUCAUGCAUCGAUCGCGAUAACAAUGGACGGUUUAUGAGGCUUGGGGUUCGACUCCCCACGAAGGCU